RNAcentral lists this ribosomal RNA (495 nucleotides) under uncultured bacterium. RNAcentral's name for it is "bacterial SSU rRNA". It matches the Rfam family "Bacterial small subunit ribosomal RNA", at positions 29 to 516 of the family's 1533-position model. The record is from RNAcentral.
AUUGAACGCUGGCGGCGUGCCUAACACAUGCAAGUCGAGCGGUAACAGGUGUAGCAAUACAUGCUGACGAGCGGCGGACGGGUGAGUAACGCUUGGGAAUCUGCCUAUUAGUGGGGGACAACCCGGGGAAACUCGGGCUAAUACCGCAUACGCUCUACGGAGGAAAGCCGGGGACCGCAAGGCCUGGCGCUAAUAGAUGAGCCCAAGUCGGAUUAGCUAGUUGGUAGGGUAAUGGCCUACCAAGGCGACGAUCCGUAACUGGUCUGAGAGGACGACCAGUCACACCGGAACUGAGACACGGUCCGGACUCCUACGGGAGGGCAGCAGUGGGGAAUAUUGGACAAUGGGCGAAAGCCUGAUCCAGCGACGCCGCGUGGGUGAAGAAGGCCUGCGGGUUGUAAAGCCCUUUCAGUGGGGAAGAAAAGCCUCGACCUAACACGUCGGGGUCUUGACGUACCCAUAGAAGAAGCACCGGCUAACUCUGUGCCAGCAGCC